This is a small nucleolar RNA of Heterocephalus glaber (naked mole-rat), 115 nucleotides long. The record is from Ensembl. NCBI's taxonomy places the organism in Eukaryota, Metazoa, Chordata, Mammalia, Rodentia, Bathyergidae.
GCUGAGACUGAAGUCACACCCUGACACUAUUUGUCCUGGGAUGCUAGAGUUCUCGGAGAGAAUUUGCUAGUCUUCAUUCAGUGGUGGAGGCUAUUUGUGCCCAUCAGAAACAUGG